This 468-nucleotide ribosomal RNA is filed under the name uncultured bacterium. Its description in RNAcentral is "partial 16S ribosomal RNA". It matches the Rfam family "Bacterial small subunit ribosomal RNA", at positions 28 to 507 of the family's 1533-position model. The record is from RNAcentral.
GACGAACGCUGGCGGCGUGCUUAACACAUGCAAGUCGAACGGAAAGGCCCUGCUUUUGUGGGGUGCUCGAGUGGCGAACGGGUGAGUAACACGUGAGUAACCUGCCCUUGACUUUGGGAUAACUUCAGGAAACUGGGGCUAAUACCGGAUAGGAGCUCCUGCUGCAUGGUGGGGGUUGGAAAGUUUCGGCGGUUGGGGAUGGACUCGCGGCUUAUCAGCUUGUUGGUGGGGUAGUGGCUUACCAAGGCUUUGACGGGUAGCCGGCCUGGGAGGGUGACCGGGCACAUUGGGACUGAGAUACGGCCCAGACUCCUACGGGAGGCAGCAGUGGGGAAUAUUGCACAGUGGGCGGAAGCCUGAUGCAGCAACGCCGCGUGCGGGAUGACGGCCUUCGGGUUAUAAACCGCUUUCGCCUGUGACGAAGCGUGAGUGACGGUAAUGGGUAAAGAAGCACCGGCUAACUACGUG